Non-coding RNA from Phalacrocorax carbo (great cormorant), 10345 nucleotides. The record is from RefSeq and is a predicted model, not a curated record. Lineage: Eukaryota; Metazoa; Chordata; Aves; Suliformes; Phalacrocoracidae.
GGGUGAAGGGAUGGGAGAGGGGUAAGUGAGUAAGGUUAUGGUGAAGUAUGCCAAAUUCCAGAUUUACAAGGUGCGGGAGGAAAACAUACAAAGACUGAGGUGCUCUCAGUGGUUGGACUUGAUCAUCUUAGAGGUCUUUUCCAACCUCGAUGAUUCCAUUAUUCAGGUACUUCUGGUGCAAUAGCAUGUGGUUAGGAAAUUACUCUCCUAUACCUGCAUUCCUUGUCUCCCUGCAGUGUUGUCCUAGGGGAGUUAAAGCCUUGAAUGUCUGUAGCCUCUAUGAAACCACCAAUGAGAAUGACUGAGAGUUGCAAGGAACACUUAGGAGAUCUCAGACACUGGUGUGGAAAUCUAGAAGGGUGCCACCAGACAAGGUGUUUAAAUCUGGCUGCGAGUCCAGGCUUAGGUAAAAUUAUUCUCUCCAGGCAUAAGGAUCGAUGGAUUGGGGCAUUCAAAAUGGACAGGUGACUAAGAAUUGGAUACACGAUUCAGUUUUAACAAAGUUGUACUAAUUUAAUAAAUAAAGCCAACACCAAGCUUUUAAUAUUUUUUUUUUCUAAUCUGAAUGACAGUGGCUGUUUAGAUUUACCUUAGAGCUGAAGUACUCAGAUGAGCUAUCAGCUCUUAUUUGUUGUCAAUAAAAGAACAUGUACUGUCAGCGCUAUUACGCUUCUAAUGAAUUUGGGGUUUAUAUCCUUUCAUUUGUUACAUUAGGCACUUUGCUUCCCAAAUCAAAUUACUAGUACAAUCAAUUAAUUUGGUGUAGAUUCCUGACUUUUAAUACACUUGUACUAACACAAAAAUGAGAAACAAAUCCUGGAAGAUUAUUCUGUUGCUGAAGAAUGAAUGUAUCAAAAACCUAUAUGAGCUGUAUUCAAUUUAAAUAUAAAAAGAGAAGGUAAGUUAGUAAAAACGAUGCAAGAAGUAAAUUUGAAGUGACCUUUGCUGAGGAUUUUUUUUUUAUGACCCAAGCAUAAAGCUAGAAAGAUGUUGGGCAGACUUCUCUUUGGGCAGAAUUGAAGUAUUAUGGGUGUCAUAUUCUAGAAAUUUCACUCAAGUAUCUGAAUUUCUUGGGUUUUAAUGUUUAUUUUCAAGUAUUGUUUUCAUGUUAUUGAAAAGUGAUAUUUUACAUAUAUCAUUCACGUGACCUAUAACAUCAUAACAUUUUCUUGUAAUCUUGUGGUUACAAGUUUUUCAUGAAGUGACACUACCUAGAAAUUUUUAUACAACAGGUCAUGAAGCAGGAACAGAGUGAAAAGGUAGAGGGCUACACUCCCACAACCUGUUUUAAGUCUAAAUUAAGGACAAACACAACGCAGCGCCCCUAGUAUGAACUUCUAGUAACUUUUGUUUUCCACUGAAGAAUAAGAUAAACUCUUGCAUUCUAAGGCAUAUGUACACUGUCACUAACACAUAGUCAGAUGUGGUGGUUCAGAGAUUUCACUUGAAAGUGCCAGGGAAAGUUUGCUCAUUUAAUUAAAAUUUUAUUUCAUCUUGAGCAAGUUGUUUGUGAAGCCCUAUACUGGAGUACUCUUGGUUGGGGACCAAGAUCUCUCUGUCUUCUUGCAGACUUCAGGUAAAUAGUGAAGUUAGCAAUUACUGUGCAGUAAUGUUCAAAGAUUUUUAAUUCUCAGGAUUGCAUAUCUGUAAUAUAACAUAGAAAAAGUCCUGAAAUAGACUAGUAGAAAGCUGAGUAGGAGAGGUUCACACUAGACUUCUGCUUUCACAGGUAAUGAUUAGUCAACCAUAUGAAAAUUUGGACCACCCCUCAGCAUCAAUGUUGUUGGGAGUCCGUAGCCAUUAAAUGCAGGUGCAGUUUCUACUGGUAGACUGUUGCACUGCUGGUAUAAUUUGCUGUCUGACCGUAGGUUGUGGUAUCAACACAACCUUGCUGACAUACCCUUGGUCCACAGCAGGAGUAUUUUGCCAGCAUACUAGUGUAAAACUGCCAGAGUGCUCUUGGGAUAGCCAUUAAUUUAGAUGUUAGUCAGAUAUUCGGUGUUUUGGAUGAGUCUUAGAGAAAUCAUGAUCAGCAAAGUGGCUGAGAGAGGAGUAGGUGCAAUUCCAUAAUCAUGGGAUGAUUAGGCAAUGGUCCAUCUUUUCACAGAAGAGAAACAGCAGAUUAGUACUUCUGCACUAUUUAAAAUUCUAAAGGGCUAAAACAAAGCGUGUCGUUCUGAUAUCACACCCAAUUAGGGGAGGUAUGAAUGAACACUUAACUGCCAAUUAGCUUGAAUAUAUCCAUGGCAUUUUCAGAAUGUGCAAACAUAAAAACUUCAGAUAAUCUGACUUGUGGUACUCUUAAUCUGAAUAGUCCUGAAAUCUGCUCGCAGAUAUGAUUACUGCUAGUGUCUGGUUUGUUGCCUUUGCUUGUUUGACCUUCACCCUUCUAAUUUCAGCAAGCAGCUGAGAUCUGACUUGGACUCUGCUUCUUGUACAGCUGUAGCCAGGUUCACAUGAUCCCUUGGGUUUUAAUGGAUGGAUCUGUCUGAUAAUAAGACCCAGUCCGUUAGUCUUUACCCAGAUUUUAUUGAGUCCCUACCUGGACAAAUUUAUGUUGGAAUUAAUUUACGUUUGCUCCCGUUAUUUUUAUUGGAAUGUAUUUACUCCAAUCUGUUUGUUGUUCAUUUGUUUAUUAAUAUAUUUUAGACAGCAGGAGAGGUUAGAGGAAAGUACCAAGAAAAUAAGAAUGUGGUGUUUUUACUGGAAGGGGAAAUCAUGCAGCACAAGGUUUUCAAAACAAAACAGCUUUCAGGUGAAACAGAAGAGAGUAUGGAGUGAUUACUUUAAGCACAGAAAAUCCCUUAAUUUAUGUUGAUUAAAUUAAGCUAUGUGCACAUCUUUCCAGGAACAGCUUAACCGUUAUCCUUGGGUGUUUGUUAGUACAGUAAGCAUGGAUAGUAAUAAUGAUCAAGAACUAAACAGUCAUAUCAAGACACACCAGUGUGUCAGGAACUGCUGAAUAAGUCGUAUCUGUCAGUCAGCUGGGCAGACAAGUAAGAAACCCUAUCUGGUGGGUUAGGAAAACACUUGUCUUCCUAAUAAUAGCUGUGCUCUUCAAAGCCCCUGCUUUGCAGAACCAGGUGGUGGAGUGUGGUUCUUCACUAUUAAAUCUUUUAAGUCACAGUCAAAUAGGGCAGGGGGCGGGGGAAGCUUUUUUUACUUGUUUUCAACUCUAGCAUUUAGCCAGUUUUUGAUACCUAGCAGGUUGCUUUCUGGGAGGCUGCUUUCCAAUCAUGAACACUUCCCCCUCCCCCCCCACUUUAUUUUUUUCAGUGUUACACUUUUUUCUGCAAUGCAUCAGUUCCUCUGAACUCAGUAAAAAUCAAACCCUGGAAAAUAUUUUUUUUGUCCUCAAUUUUGCACAGAAGCUUUCUCUCUUAGCUUUUUGACUUUGGUAUUAGUUCUUGUUUCUGGUCAUCUUUCCUAUUUGUCCGUCUGUUGAUUCUCUCAGACAUGUAGUUGCACAUUGCACACAGGUCCUCCUGUUAAAAAUUAUAGACUCCAAGUUUGCUGCGCUGGAUCUUCAGAGAUAUCCCUGAGGUUUCUAAUUAAACUUCACAGUGUAAUAUAUCUUUGAUAACAGCACCUAAUUGUUUACCUAUUUUUAUAAAAGAACUUGUUUACAUCUGCUGUAAAUUGAGAACAGUGGUUACACUCGCCUGAGUCAAAGGUGGGUUUCUUCACAGUGUGGGUUGCCAUAACGAAAGACCUCCAAAAAGUAACUCAUUCCUGGGGGUAUUUGCAGUGGAAUUACUCUCAUCUAAGAAUAGACCAAGAAGUGUGUUUUAUCCUGAAAACAGGGACUUACAUGUGUCUCCUAUGAUCUACAUUGACAAAGCAAAUCCCUAGAAGAUUGGAGGUGGACUUGUGUGUGUUAUCUCUUAAAGAUAAUCAGGUGGAGACACAAAGGGCUUCUUUAGAGAAGAGAGAGUCCCACAACUUGCUGCCUUUUCAUGGAGUACUACCAGCUCUGAAUAAAGGGAGGGACCAAAUGCUGUAUGGAUGGUACACUCAUUUGAAACUGAUCCCUAGCCAUGAUCUGCCGAAAUGUUACCUUGCUCUGGUUUUGGUAAAGAGGGCUUUCUCCUCUGCUGUCUGAAAAUGUCCUUAUUCUGAGUCAUACUUGGAGGUAGGGCAAGUUAUACUUGCCACCUGACUUUUGUGGUACCACAGCACGUCCAGAAAUGACCAGAAUUGUCAUUGUCAAUAUAUUUAAGCCAUUGUGAAGAAGUGUAUACUUGCGAAUACGGUUGUAAUUUACAAAAUACUGUAUUGACAGAACAAUUGCACUUGUUUCCUUUGCUUGCAAGUGAAGUAAAAUCAAUUUAUUGGCACCUGUGUGUUGGUGAUUUCAUAGGAGAAUUUUUAGAGGCCCCCUUGAUCCAUUGUUAGUUUUGAGCACUCAGAAACUGAAGUCCCAGCAGCCUACUGCGUGCCAUCUAUCCACCUCCCUUCUAGCUGCUCUCUAUUAUGAUGACUUGUCACCAUUCACUCCAUAAUUACAUUUUCAAGGUUAUUUCCAUCUUGACUCCUGAUGUGUCCAGAGCAUAUACAUUUAAACCUAUUAAUUUCUGACAACCAAGUCUACUUUUCUCCAAUAAUAUAUUUGAUAUGAGCAUUUAUCAUCUGUGCUGCCCAGGAGAUAUGCAAGGGUCUUCGCUUCCACCAUGUCUCAAAAGCAUCAGUUUUCUUCCUGUCACUAUCAAUAAUUUCUCAGAAUUCACAUUCAUAAGUUGCUACAGCAAAAAAAAAUUAAGCAUUUCACCAGUCAAAUCUUUCUACUUUUUGAGGUGGAGUGGUUUUUGGAGGCUUUUAUAAGGGAAACCAUGGAUGGAUCAAGUAUUCUUCAAGUUUUUCUAGUUUCUGUUGGACAGGUUCUGGCUGGAUAAAUUUGAUCCCAGGUAACUGAACUUAUGAACAGUCUUUGCAGCUAGACCAUUAAGCAUGAAGUUAGCUUAUAUUCUACUUUUAUUAAUUAAGUAAAGUUAUUUUAUGGCACAUUCAAGAAUAGCCUGUAUUUUUCAUUAGCCUUUUAUUGGCUCUUUAAUACUUGCUGCACAGCAGAAGUGGUUGUGACAAAAAGCGUUACGUCAUCAGUCAAAGGUCACUCGAAAGGAGCCUGUUUCAAAUUCAACUUUUCCAUUCUGUAAAGUCCUUCCCAGAUUUCCCUUCCCCCCCAGCCAAGCUGCAAGGAAAUCUGCAGUUACCUGCAGCUGUAAUAGUAGCAUAUGGCUCUUUAUGUUUGCUUGAUAUUUUUUCAAAUAAUAAGGUAGAUUUGGGGAAUUUCUGGGUGCAUGGGAAUGCUUAGAGGAAAUACCACCGAGGAAACUGGGAAAGUUUGGUAACGUAUUUAGCCCAUGGUGGCUGCCUACUGGGGGGAAGGCAGUAUGAGCAGUCUUUCCCUCUGCCCUGUUAGAUGAGAAUUGUCCUAUGUUCUGUUAAAAAAUGAUGUGUGGUACUAGCAAAUUCUGAUUAAGAGCCUCCUUUGUGAAAACUAUCGAUGGCAUUUGUGAUGCUGCUGUUCCUAAAUCUUUCACAGCUAUAAUGUCUACUGCUCGCAGUAAAGAAAUGUAUGAUACAAAACUUUACAAAUUAAUAUGAACUUGGAAUUUACCAUUAUGGUUAAAGAAAGAUGUUUGAUGAAUGGAUGUGCAGUCUCAGAGCUCUACAGUAAAUGAUGGGGUCAUUUCAUGAUGAUGGAUAGGUAUGUGGUGUACUGUUCAGAGGCUGCAAAAGGGGUUGCAUUUAUCAAACUCAGGGAAGCACCAAAGUGUUUGGGCAUGACUCUGUGAGCAAUAGAAUCAUUACCAUUUGCCUUUGAACAAAGUCAGGAAAUGUAUUGAUCAUAUGGGUUUAUGCUGCUAUGAAAGCAACUAAUGAUGAUACAAUCAAUGUGUUUUGUGAAUGACUUGGGGGGAUAAUCAUUAAAAUGUUACACCACCGUACCAUUUUGGAACUUGAAUAUGAAAAUUGGAAUUUGAAACUCUUGUAAAGCACCAUUUGCAUUUGAAUUUACAAAAUAAAAUUACUUCUUUGGAUUGUGCAGCUCUAGUCCCUUCAUCCUUACAAGUCUACUUCAGUAAACGCACUGGAUGUUUGCAUCCACGCAGGUCAUGACAGAAGAGCACACUGACAAUGUAGUGAUCCAGCAGCAGGGAGUACUGAGUAUCAGUUGAAGAAGAUUUUCCUAAAUUCAAGAUAUUUGGCAGCAGAGGUUUUUUGAGCCUGUGCUUGUAUGGGUAUUUAACAAAGUGGACAAUGCAUUGGUAUCUAAAGAGGGGACUGAAUAUCAGGUAUUGAGUAGGCAAAGACAGAAGUAGGCAAGACAAGGCAAGAGCAAAUAUAGAAAUGAGAAAAGUGCUUUCUUGACAAACAUGAAUGCUUAGUAAUACAAAAGCUGUGUUCAGAAUAGUCAGAUUUCUAACCAGAAAUUCUCCAUGAUGGAAUACAGAAAAGUCCAUGAUGGUGGAGUGAUGGCCAGAGGUGAUGAUAUUAAAUGCCAGCAGAGGAAUUACUGCUUGUAAAGUAGGCUGAUAUGUAUCCACUUACAAUUUCACCAACAUCUAAUACCACUAUUUAUAUCCUGUCUGAAUUUGGCAAGGCAGCUCAUGUGUACUCUGUGUCAUAUACUAUAACUACACUGUAUCAGGCACAUAAACACUUGCUUUCCUAAGUAUAUCUAUGUACUGUUCUUUUUAUCUUCCAGACACUGCAUACUUAUGCCUAAUCAUUUAUAUCUUCAGGGAAGCGUAUGCUAAAAUUGUAAACUUCCUUUAUCUGAGACCAUUAAAAAGGCAGACACUUUUACCCAGCAUGUGAACGUUUAAGUCACUACUUUAGAUGAACUCAGUUUUUGCUUAUGGAAUGCCAUUGGUCUAUAUUUAAUAUUUUUUAAACUUCCUUCAAGAUCUGCUCAGCAGCCACCUCUAAUCCAGCACAUGGAGAAGAAAACUUGAGUGAACCAUUUUUUCCAUCCAUUUUCAGUAUCGCUUAGCUUGACACUGCCUGGAUGCACUCUUAGGCUUGUAUCCUUGCUUCAGAAACUGGAACAAUACGUUCUUUCACACAGCUUCACAGAAAAAAGAUGUACAUGAAAAAAUAUGUUGACAAGUCUAUCAGAUUCUGAAUAUAGUAAGAGAGAACAGAACAACAUUACUUCUAGGGGAGAAAAACUUUAUCUAGCAAUAGGUCUUUCCCUUAAGGAAGCAGCUUCAUAUAGCACGUAUGAAAUAACACUAAAGGAAGUACACAAAUGCUGACAUAAUCUAUGAAUAAAAAAACCCAAGGGCUUUACAGUUUCCUGAAUUCAAGCAAAUUUGCAGUAAUAUUUAGUCUGUCUUACCAAACCCUUAUUUUGGUGUUUGUCUCUGUGUUCCUUUCUAAAAGGUUAGUCCCUUGGCCCAUUGCUGGAUACAAGAAAUGGGAACACAUGAAAAGAUUCUGAGGAAUGUAAACAGAGGAAUAAAGUAACUGAAAGAGUUCGGUGUUUGAUCAUCUAUUUGAAGAAAGCUUAAACAUGUUUUCAUGCUGGUUGUAUCAACUGUUUUGUUUUGUUUUAAUAAGUUGUCUAUUACAGAUGGGCCCAGAUCCAAAUUAUACCACCUCUCCUCCAUCCUGAAUUGUGUGUGUGAGCUAAAUCUGGUUAUAGAUACCAAUCUGAAUAUCACGAGCUAGGGCAAGGUGGAGUGGAGCUUGUCUUAAGAUCCGACUUCCUCAUUUGCUGGACAUGGAAUUGGCAUGAAUUUGUCGGGUCGGAGCUAAUUUUUACCUAGUCCUCAAAUCAUGAACUGCAGACUGCCCUGUUACAAGGAGCCACUGUCCUUUUAUGUGUCUGAAACCCUAAGGUGGACCUUAGCUGCCUGCAGCUUUCUAAAUUUUAGUUUCUUUUGUUGCUGGUGUUACUCACUGGGAAAGAAUGUGGCCCCUUUUCCAGUGACAGAGGGUGUGAAAUGUUAAAAAGUCGAAGUGAUAGGUGGAUUUUAAAGGAACCAGAAAAAAAAGAGUCAGAAUUUAUAGGAAAGCAAAAGAAGGCCCUGUUCCCCAUUCAGCAGGGACCAAAUAGCCAUGCAGUCAAUUUCCUAUCUAAAUAAUUAGGUUUUAUCAUGUGACAUACAGAGUCACAUACUGAACAAAGGGUUUCCGUAAAAAAAGUAUUCUAUACAGCUGUUUUUAAAUGCACAUCACUCCCUGCUCCAUUACCCCAUCUUGGCUUCUUGUUUCAGCAUAAGACACACAGCAUACAAGUUAUUCAAGUUUAGAAACUAGUUAGUGAAAUUUAAUUCAUAAAUUAGUGCUAGUGGGUUUAGACCAUAACAAGUUCCCUAAUUUAUUUUUAUAAGCAGUUGGAGAAAUUUGCAGAUGUUCGUGAUAGAGGUCAAGCGGAAGGGUUGCUGUAGCUAGCCACUUUUUGUGUAACAAAUGGUGAGUGAGGAAUACUGACGCCAAGCAGGAUACCUGCAAGACACUUAUAUAUCAUAGAAUUUUGAAGCCAUCAAGUUGUGGUAUCAGAAAAUUUUGUAAAAUAUGCAGGUCUGGAUAGGAUCUGUACUUGAAAAUAAGGCCUCUAUGAAACUCUUUGGGAAAAGAAAUAAAAUAGAUUUUUAAUAUUUUUUUAAUCUUCUGUUAAUUGAAGGUCAGUCACUGUGAGGUAAACUGGUUCAUAAAUCACUUAUGAUUGGCAAGCAAUUAACUUCUGGUAAAUGAAUUGUACAGACAUGGAAUAGAGUCUUGACAGGUAAAAGCAUUUGUCCAUUCAAGGGACAAUAAUAGAUGAUUAAGACUUGCCUAAAAUUCAGGCUUGUACUUAACAUUAGAUCUACUUAGAAAUUUCAUUCUGCAGCAGGAUCCAAUGUUUUUACAUUUAAAAAUUUCUGAAUUGGAGCAAACAAUAGACAUCCCAAAACCUCCAGUAGAAUGAAAAUACUGGGUUUUAUUUAGAAUCACUGAAAAGUUUUAAUGAUUUUUUUCCCCAGUAUUUUAGUAAAUGGACUGAUAACAUUUAACAUCACAAAACCCAUAAAAUAUGAAAAUAUAUAGAUUGAAAGAAGCCAAAAUGUUAGCUGAAAUAAUAUUACAUAGUCAAAUGAAAACAAUAUCUGGUGGCUUUUUUUUCUGUUUUUUAUAAUGUCCAAUUGACUUUUUCAAUAAAUGGUUUGUUUUCAAGUGUUUAAUUCUGCAUCUCAUUAUGACCUCGUCACAUCAAGUAAACUUGGGCAUUAAUACAUUUGAGGAAAUGCAUCUGUUUUGCCCUAAGGAAAACAGUUACUUUAGCUGAUACAGAAUACCUUAAUGUGAUAAAAUCCUAAUACGAGCAAGGUAGUUUGUAGCUUUUAUAUGUGUGGUGAAAGUAAACAGGUAGGAACAGUGGAUUAUUUUAACUCUCUAACACAUAGAAUAUGACAUUCUUCCAACUAAAAGAAACAAACUUCUUUCCCUUUCUGCCUCUGCCCCAUUUUUUCCUGAGUGAAGAUAAAGUCCAACAUAAGAUGAUUUGGAUUCAGUAGCUAUCACUUACAUUAGGGACUUGACUCUGGAUAAGAUAUCCCAGUGAGAAGCUCAUCUGCCCAGGAAAAUAAAAUGCUGAAGUCUCACUGCAGGUUCUUGAGUUAUGUUAGUUCUGUCUUAACCUAGAAAAUGUUAGCCCAGUUCAAAAUAAGUGCAAUUUCUUCUGCAGGUGUGGCUGUGCUCUUAACAACCGCCUGAAGGCUGUUACCUUGCAGAUUGGAAACCUGGAGUUUUUUUGUCCUGGGGCAGCUUUGUUUUAACAGCUCUGGCUUUACCAGUGAAUGGAGGCCAUUAAUGAUACUGUUCCUUGGAAACGUCCUCUUUCUUGAUACAGAGCAUGUGCGUGUCAUAUGAGAUGGCAUACAACAUUUGUUUUGUGAAAAACAGAAUUAAAUUUCUACUUCAGAAAUCAAAUUCUGGCUGAGGGAAGAGUUAUCUUUUGUAGGAACACAAGCUCCAAGAUCAUGGACAAAGUAAUAUUAACUGGAGACAGACAUUCCAAGAAGCCAAGUUAAACAUCUUAAAUCAGCAUUAAGGAAGAUCGCAGCGGGACACCUGCAGCCACGGUCCUCCUGAGGCAUUGUGCCUUGAUGGGAGGUGGUUGAAUAGAGAUGGCGGGGAGGUAUCGCAAGACAAUGGAGGGUGGGAAGGCACCCAUCUCCUUCUGGGAAUCAGAUGAAAAAGCAGGAAGAAGUGGAGACCCUGCCUAUGACUAUGUAAUUAAGUCCUAUUCUUAGAAAUCAGUAAUGGGUAAACUUAAUCAGUAGUUUUCCAAUUACAUUUUAAUGCCUGUUUGUUGACCGUGAAAUUUCUCAGAUUAACAAACUUCUGCAAAAUU